UACAGAGGGGGCAAGCGUUGUUCGGAAUUACUGGGCGUAAAGGGCGCGUAGGCGGCCUGCUAAGUCGAACGUGAAAUCCCCGGGCUCAACCCGGGAACUGCGUCCGAUACUGGCAGGCUUGAAUCCGGGAGAGGGAUGUGGAAUUCCAGGUGUAGCGGUGAAAUGCGCAGAUAUCAGGAGGAACACCAACGGCGAAGGCAGCACUCUGGGCCGGUACUGACGCUGAGGAGCGAAAGCGUGGGGAGUGAACAGG
RNAcentral lists this ribosomal RNA (253 nucleotides) under uncultured bacterium. RNAcentral describes it as "partial 16S ribosomal RNA". It matches the Rfam family "Bacterial small subunit ribosomal RNA", at positions 524 to 776 of the family's 1533-position model. The record is from RNAcentral.